GAUUUUAUGAGCUGUAGUUUCACAGCGUCGUUGUUCUCCUUCCCAUCCCAUCAUUCUUCGUCUUUCCCCCAAUGCUGUAAUUCUCUUUCUCUUUGUAUUCAUUCCUUUCUAACCUUUCAUUCUAACCCUCAUUCCUCAAUCACCUUCUUCUUUCUCUUCAACUUGUUGGGUCUUUUACAUAGCCCAACCCUUUUCAGGGUCUGGGUUUCCUUCUCAAUUCUCUUUCUCCACACCCCAUUCAACCAACUUCAUUCUUCACUCCUUUUUUCUUUCGUGGGUUUCGUUGCAAAUUCUCUUAAAUGCAUCUGAUUUGUGUUUCCAACAGAGACCUCAUAUAUUGAGUUCACAGGUUUGAAUGAAAGGAGAAAAAAAAAGCAUUUUUUAAUUCUUUUUUUUUGUGUUUUUACCUGAAUAUAAAUUCUGGGUUUUAUCUGGUUUUCCAUAUCUGGGGUUGGGUUGCUUUGUGUUGUGGGUUUUCAGCUCUGUUUAUUUUUUUGUUUUAAUUUGUUAAGUUUGGUUGUGGACUAGGGUUUUCUUGGGUGGAAGGGUGCUUGUAUUUUGGAGGGUGGUAUUCUAUUUUUCAAUGGUUUUUGGAUUUGUGUAUUUGAGGUUCUUGUCUUGGUGAAUUGUUUCAGUGGUUUUGAGAUUCGGGUUUUUGAGUUUGAAGGUGUUGGAGUUGGUUUUGCAGUGAUUUUGUUGAGAUAUGAAUCGUAGAGUGAGGAGGAAGGUGGCAAGGAGAAGCAAAGGGAAUGUGGUGCUGCCUAGUUUCCCUGAAAUUCAAGACGAAGUUUUGGAUUCAGAACAACAAGGGGUUGUUGAUUGGAGAAGCUUACCUGAUGAUACAGUAAUUCAGCUAUUGUCUUGUCUGAGUUAUCGAGAUCGAGCUAGCUUAUCGUCAACUUGUAGGACAUGGAGGUUUCUUGGUAGCUCCCCGUGUUUGUGGAAUGCUCUGGAUCUUCGUUCCCACAGGUUUGAUGCCAGCAUGGCAUCAUCACUUGCUCCUAGGUGUGUGCAUCUUCAGAAGCUUAGGUUUCGUGGGGCAGAGUCUGCUGAUGCAAUAAUUCAUCUUCGAGCAAGGAACUUACAAGAAAUAAGUGGCGACUAUUGCAGGAAAAUUACUGAUGCAACUCUUUCGGUGAUUGCGGCUCGGCAUGAGUUACUUGAGAGUCUUCAGCUUGGACCAGAUUUCUGUGAGAGAAUCAGUAGUGAUGCUAUUAAAGCCAUAGCUCAUUGCUGUUCUAGAUUAAAUAAACUUAGGCUCUCGGGCAUCAGGGAUGUAAAUGCUGAUGCUAUUAAUGCCUUGGCUAAGCAUUGUCCAAAUUUGACUGAUAUUGGGUUUAUUGACUGCCUGAAUGUUGACGAGCUUGCAUUGGGAAACGUGUUAUCGGUUCGAUUCCUUUCUGUUGCAGGAACAUCAAGUACGAAGUGGAAUGUGGUUUCCCAUCUUUGGCAUAAGCUUCCAAACCUGCUUGGAUUAGAUGUUUCCAGAACUGAUAUUGGUCCAUCUGCUGUUUCCAGAUUGUUAUCCUUAUCACAGCAUUUGAGGGUUUUAAUUGCUUUGAAUUGUCCUAUCCUUGAAGAAGACACUAGCUUCUCCGCUAGUAAAUAUAAAAACAAGUUAUUAAUUUCCCUUUUUACUGAUAUUUUUAAAGGACUAGCUUCUUUAUUUUUUGAUAAUACAAAGAGAGGAAAGAAUGUGUUUUUGGACUGGAGGACUUCCAAGAAUAAUGAUAAGGACCUUAAUGAAAUUAUUCCCUGGCUUGAGUGGAUGCUAUCCCAUACGCUUUUGCGUUCCGCUGAGAGUCCUCAACAAGGUCUUGAUAAUUUCUGGGUUGAACAAGGUGGAGCGCUUUUGCUUAGUCUAAUGCAGAGUUCUCAAGAGGAUGUUCAAGAGAGGGCAGCCACAGGUCUUGCAACUUUUGUUGUAAUUGAUGAUGAAAAUGCUAGCAUAGAUUGUGGAAGGGCUGAGGCAGUUAUGCGAGAUGGUGGCAUUCGCCUGCUACUUGGCCUAGCAAAAUCUUGGAGGGAAGGGCUUCAGUCUGAGGCGGCUAAGGCCAUUGCAAAUUUGUCCGUCAAUGCCAAUGUGGCCAAAGCUGUUGCAGAAGAGGGUGGGAUUGAGAUUCUUGCUGGUUUGGCUAGGUCAAUGAACAAGCUGGUGGCUGAAGAAGCUGCUGGAGGAUUGUGGAAUCUCUCUGUUGGAGAAGAGCACAAGGGUGCCAUUGCUGAAGCUGGGGGAAUACAAGCUUUAGUGGAUCUUAUAUUCAAGUGGUCCUCUAGUGGAGAUGGAGUUUUAGAACGUGCAGCAGGUGCAUUGGCUAAUUUGGCAGCUGAUGACAAGUGUAGUACAGAGGUUGCACUGGCAGGAGGUGUACAUGCUCUGGUGAUGCUUGCUCGUAACUGCAAAUUUGAGGGAGUGCAAGAGCAGGCUGCUCGUGCAUUGGCUAAUUUAGCUGCUCAUGGAGAUAGCAACAGUAACAAUGCUGCUGUUGGACAAGAAGCAGGUGCCCUUGAGGCUCUUGUUCAGCUUACACGUUCUCCCCAUGAGGGUGUCAGGCAAGAAGCUGCUGGUGCACUCUGGAAUUUGUCAUUUGACGAUAGAAAUCGAGAGGCCAUUGCAGCAGCUGGUGGAGUUCAGGCCUUGGUUGCUCUUGCCCAAUCUUGUUCUAAUGCCUCUGCUGGACUUCAAGAGAGGGCUGCUGGUGCUUUGUGGGGAUUGUCAGUCUCUGAAGCCAAUAGAAACUGGGCACAACAUGGACAUUUUGACAUGACUAUACUAUAUGCAGUGAAAAAGCUUAGUUUCUCAGUGUUGCAAAGCUUUUUAGUGGUGAUAAUUAUUCUGUUGUGGCACUACAUGGCGCAACUGUAUGAAUGGGGAUGUGUAACCAUGGAAACAAUGUCUUUAUUCAGUUAAUUUGCUAGGAGGGGAGGGUGAUUGUUCUGCUGGGUCCUUUUGGAAUGUUGGGCUCUUGUGCAAUUGCAAUUGGUACAUUUUCUCUUGUAAGUGCUAAACUCAGUUGAUUAAAGUUUCAAUUUGAGGCUGACUUAUCGUUUGAAAUGGAAAUGUAAUUCAACUGCUGAUGGGAAAGAAAGUACGAGUUAACUAACCUCUUUAGGAAAGAAAAUUCUGGCUGGAGAUUAGGUUUGUCGGACUUGGAUAGAGCACUAAUCAGUAGGCUAAAAGUUAUAACCAAUAAUCAAGGUGCAACUUUUUUCUAUUUAAUUGCACUUUUUAUUAUACUAUAAUUAAUCAGACUUCCACCAAACUUGGCCUUGUCAAUGCAGAAUACUACCCAAAGUUACCCACCCCCCUCCCAUCUAGAACUUGCCUCUGACAGUUGUGUCUUUCUAGGAAUUGAUGUCAUGACCUUGAUUCUUAUACCACUUGUUGGAUUGAGCACUUACUACUUGGCCAAAGCUAUAUAUAGCUAAUUGUUUCCUUUUAUAGUAGGUAUGUGGGAAAAUGAUGACUCAGCUAGAUCUGAAGAAUGAAGGAAAAAAAUUAGAGGGUUAUAAACAAGGUGUACAUAUGGAAUAUGUGUUAAUUGGAAGGAGACUGAUAAUUUGCUAUAUUGGAAUGGAAUUUCAAUGUUCUGUUUAGGGGUCUCCCACCCUGGCCCUGCCAAAAACCCGCCAUAAAGCUGUUAGUCUUGCAUUGCCAUUGGACGAGAAGGAGGUGUUGCACCUCUGAUUGCACUGGCACGAUCAGAAGCAGAGGAUGUUCAUGAAACUGCUGCAGGAGCACUAUGGAAUCUUGCUUUCAACCCUGG
RNA transcript from Abrus precatorius (Indian licorice), 3767 nucleotides. It is a transcript of the gene named protein ARABIDILLO 1, with no coding region annotated. Lineage: Eukaryota; Viridiplantae; Streptophyta; Magnoliopsida; Fabales; Fabaceae. The record is from RefSeq and is a predicted model, not a curated record. The transcript has 10 exons.